Molecule: long non-coding RNA, 3198 nt
Organism: Clupea harengus (Atlantic herring)
Lineage: Eukaryota; Metazoa; Chordata; Actinopteri; Clupeiformes; Clupeidae
Source: Ensembl
CCAGGGUUCUGAACUCAGAUCACCUGUUAAAACCAGAGUUCUGAACUCAGAUCAGCUGUUAAAACCAGGGUUCUGAACUCAGAUCACCUGUUAAAACCAGAGUUCUGAACUCAGAUCAGCUGUUAAAACCAGGGUUCUGAACUCAGAUCACCUGUUAAAACCAGAGUUCUGAACUCAGAUCACCUGUUAAAACCAGAGUUCUGAACUCAGAUCAGCUGUUAAAACCAGGGUUCUGAACUCAGAUCAGCUGUUAAAACCAGGGUUCUGAACUCAGAUCAGCUGUUAAAACCAGAGUUCUGAGCAUUUCAGUCUUCAAAGCCAUCUCGCUCAAACCAACAGCAAUAACUCCCCAGAAAGACAGGAGGUCUUCAUCAUUUACAUGUUUGUAAGUUAGAUAAUACGGAUAUGCGUGUGGAUGUGUAUGUGUGUGUGUGUGUAUGUGUGUGUCUCUCUGCAUGCGUGUACAUGUCUGUGUGUGUUAAACAGACUUGAAAUGAACAACAUAGUUCUCAUUUUCCCAUCAUCUCAGUCCAGCUAAAUGUGAGUAAUGUGUGAUGCAUAAUGGAUUAGAUCUAGCGUGGUUUCUAUGGAAACAAGUAGGUUCACCUCAGACCCGUAUCUCGCACCAGAGGUCAUGAACACACAGACACCAAUGUGUGUGAUGUGUGUGUGAUAACUGGGAAGGUGGAGUGGGCAGUGUAUGUGUGUGUGUGUGUGUGUGUGUGUGUGUGUGUGUUUGUUUGAAGUGAGGAGAGGAGAGAGGGGAGGGGUCACUCAAAGAACUCUCAUUCUUAUGCAAAUAACUCUAAAUGUAUGCAUGGCAGGAAUUGUAGCACCUCUUUAUAAACAAAAUAUGAUGUCAGAGCCUGUGGACCAGCACAUGCACAAACAAGACAAAUGAUCCCACAGGAUUGCUCUGUGUGUGUGUGUGUGUGUGUGUGUGUGUGUGUGGUGUGGUGUGUGUAGUGAAUUAAAUAAAUGUGUCAUGUCACUCUGUUGCCCCCAUUACAUUGUAAAUACACAUCCAGACCUAUGGCAUCAUUGUGUCAUUUACACAUUUACACACACACAUACACACACACACACACACACACACACACACACACACACACACACACACACACACAUACGUACUGUACAUACACAGACAGUAUAUGCUGUACAUGCAGACAUUACAAUACACACAUCCACUUACAUGGUAUAUGGUACAUGUUACAUAGUAGCACAUAGCGGUUCUUUCUUUGGUGUGCUUAGAUUUUAAUCUGUCUCCCACGUCCGUUAUCCGAGGGAGAGAGAGAGGACGCGGAAAUUAAAUGAAUAAACGGAAGGGAGGUAGAGAUUGAGAGAGCAUGCAACUUUUGAUUUCAUGAUUCGUAUUCAUCCAUCUUUGAGUUUUGUGACCUGUCACUCUUGAAAAAUGUAGCAGUUCUCCUGUGGGGGAUCAUGUCAUCUGAGUCAUCAAUCCUCUCCGCCUGCCACCCCCCCUCUACCAAACAGACAGUGGGAUGGUCCAUGGGUUUGCUCUUCUGUCCAGUCCAUUUUGAAGCCAAAAAGGGGGGGGGGAGGGGGAGGGGACUUCUGGCGGCAAGUGGACGUCAGCAGGAACCACCAGGAAAAUGAUUACUUGAGCAGAGCUGUGAAAUGUGGCCGACACUAGAGGAGGCGUAUACUCCCAUUGAGUGGACUGAAGACGUCAUUACGCAAUAGCAUAUUAAACUAACCAUUAUGGAAUGCAAACUGCGCACAUGCACAGAAACAUGUUUUUAAUAUUAAUACAUAUACAGAUAUAUAUGAAAACUAUAUAAAUAUAUAUUUAAUUAGAAUGCUAUGCACUUGCUAAUGGGAUCCACCCCGCCCUGUCCGGGGGUUGUAGUCAUGUUAUGGAUGUAACCUUAGCAACCACCAGACUGCUGGGGAAUGCCUGCUGCCGUGGUUACGGACCCACGGCUUGUUAACCUCUUUCUCCUGUGUUUUUUUUUAUUGCUAUGGAGAUGGCAAUAUAUGGAACAAAAAUACAAUCCUUUCAGCACUGCUGUGAGGGACCUGUAUGACCCUGUACACCAGCUAAAACAUUUACAACAUAAAUAAAGAAAAUAAAUAUCCACAGAUAUACCUGGGUAUUUAUCUGUGUCUGUUUGCGGGUAUGUGUGGUUAUGUGCUAGGCUUUCAGAAACAAAAAGUCGCCUUUAUUUCGCCGCUGGUCGCUUAAAGGUUCCAUCUAAUGGCCUUUGAAGUAAGCCUUCAUCAGGCGGCUCUAAGAAACAUGAACAGAUAGAGAACCUGGUUUGUGGGGUGUGUAGAGUAGUAUGUGUUUGUGUGACUGCACGUAUUUGUGCAUGUUGAACUCCCCAGAUAACUCCAUUUGAGCCAGGACCACACGCAGGAGUUUUUGUCAGUAUUACACAGCUUGUACAUUUGUAAAUUCUAUGCAUGAAUAGAGAGGAGAGAUAUAUACGGGUUCUAAAGGACAUCAGCAAAGGAGAAAUCAAAUUGGUUUAUUAUCUUGUUUAACACAAGACAACGGCACACGUAGAUACUAAGUGAAGACAAUUUGCAGCUGUGAUUAACUUGCAGAAGUGUGUGACGACCACUCUGUUGAACAUGUGACAUUCCUCGAUAAGGCAUCAAGUGUGGAUGAUGUGUACACUUCCCCGUCCCGCCCACGGAGUGCUAUGACAUUGCAAUUCCACUAGAGGGCAGGAGGGCUCACUGAUCCCUAUAGUCCUGCUGGACUUCUCUCUGUUGGCCGUCAGCACUGCAGGGGAAGAUCAGAAAACCUGUUGGCACAGACACCACAUACCUUCUGUUCUGUUCUCUCUCUCUUCUCUCUCUUCUCUCUCUCUCUCUCUCUCUCUCUCUCUAUCUUUAUCUUUGUUGUUUUUGUCUUUAAACAUCCUGAUGUCUGAUAAGCCAAUAAUAUGAUGCACUUACUCUACACAGAUUCUGUCGUGACAAAUAUGAAAUUAUUUAUAAAAAUGAAAUAUGAACAAUUUUGUAUUUCUUUCCCUCCAUGUCCAUGUUUCCUAUCCUUGUGCCCUUCCCCCACCCUCUGUCUCUCUGUCUGGACCCCCCACCCGCAUCAUUAAAACUCUUUGAUGGCUGAAGUCUGUUUAUGGACUGUGUCAUAAAAGUGCUCUCUGUCCAACAGCUCUGCGCCAUAGCAGUACUCAAGCCUCCUUUGCCUACACAUUUAAAACC